UACGUAGGGUGCGAGCGUUGUCCGGAAUUAUUGGGCGUAAAGGGCUCGUAGGCGGUCUGUCGCGUCGGGAGUGAAAACUCAGGGCUUAACCCUGAGCCUGCAGUGGAUACGGGCAGACUAGAGGUAGGUAGGGGAGAAUGGAAUUCCCGGUGUAGCGGUGAAAUGCGCAGAUAUCGGGAGGAACACCGGUGGCGAAGGCGGUUCUCUGGGCCUUACCUGACGCUGAGGAGCGAAAGCGUGAGGAGCGAACAGG
RNAcentral lists this ribosomal RNA (253 nucleotides) under uncultured bacterium. RNAcentral's name for it is "partial 16S ribosomal RNA". It matches the Rfam family "Bacterial small subunit ribosomal RNA", at positions 524 to 776 of the family's 1533-position model. The record is from RNAcentral.